This is a long non-coding RNA of Daucus carota subsp. sativus, 943 nucleotides long. RefSeq lists it as uncharacterized. The transcript has 3 exons. The record is from RefSeq and is a predicted model, not a curated record. Lineage: Eukaryota; Viridiplantae; Streptophyta; Magnoliopsida; Apiales; Apiaceae.
UCUAUAAAUCCCGAAACUUUUAUUUUAUUAGUUUUAUAAUAUGCGGAGAUUUAUAAAAUUAGUUUGGUAAUUUUUCGAGAAAGUUUUAUGGCGAGUUAUCCUGUAAAUCAACUAAAUAGCGGGUGUGUGGGUGGUUAUUCAGCUUUAAAACCAAACGUGGCAGUCUUUGGCCAAAGCACGUGACAUUGUUUUUCUUCACCGCCAUUCCUUUUCUUCCUUUUAUUUACAUCAGUCUCUCAAUCUCUCUGGCUCACCUCCCUCUCUCACCUUUUCUCUUUUUCUUCUACAAGCCACUAUCCAUUAGUUGUUUUUUUUCUUAAUCUUUCUCCGUCGUUCUCUGAUGACCGCCGUCGCGGGUUCCGACCAGGCGCCGCCGGACCGCCACCGCGUGUUUCUUCCUCUACCAUAGCCCUGCAUCAGUUAUAGAUCAGUAGAAUAGAUCAAGACGUGUAUAUCGAGAAUGUUCAGAAUUAAUCCGAUGGUGUUGCAAGUUGAAGCAAGAAUAAUCUGAGAUGACAGACGUAGAAAGAGUAUUGUCAGAAGCUGCUUAGAAAGAUAUGAUUGUGCGGUAUAGUGCUAUUAGAAUCGUGACUAGACGUCGGAGUUAAGCUAGGGAUAAAGAUGAUUCACUAAAGACUGCGCGUAAAGAGUAAUGAUAGGCAAUGAUUGCAAGUGGUUGAGUUCAGGAAAAUUGUUAGGUAGGGUAUCCGGGACGAUGUGAUUAAGACUAGAUGCAGUUGGAGUUCUGCAAUUCAAUUCAGUUGGAAAUGAGAUUUGUUUAUUUGGUUAUCAGCUACUCUUCUUAUCGAUGUUUAGCUGAUAAUGCAGUUUAAUUUGUAAUGAAAUUUGAUAGUUUUAGUUUCUGAUUUCAAUGCUGUAACCUGUAUGCGAUCCUGUUUUCAGGGGGUGAAUUUGAUUUUAAUUUAAAUCAUUUUUUUAAAAA